Molecule: transfer RNA, 73 nt
Filed under: Stegodyphus mimosarum
Lineage: Eukaryota; Metazoa; Arthropoda; Arachnida; Araneae; Eresidae
Rfam family: tRNA
About the family: Transfer RNA (tRNA) molecules are approximately 80 nucleotides in length. Their secondary structure includes four short double-helical elements and three loops (D, anti-codon, and T loops).
Source: Rfam by way of RNAcentral
GCUUUCGUGGUGUAGUGGUCAGCACGCUCGAUACGUAGGCAAGAGGUCCGUGGUUCGAUUCCCGGCGAAGGCU